AUGCACUUUCUUCCCCAUCUUUCACUCUUCUUCCUCCUCUCUUCCCCAUCGUCGGUCGCACACCAUUUCCCCCCGCUCACUGCUCGCCCGCCUGCGCCAUCUUCUUUGGUAGCUCGCGCGUACCAUAUCCCCCAGCUCACUACUCGGCCACACAAGGAGAAGCUUCUUCGCUCGCCUGCCCGAAUCCACUUCCUCGCUGGCUCACACCGACUUGACGAUCCUAUAGAGGUUGCCGUGGUGCCCCUCGACAUGCUGCCACUACCCGUCCACAUGUCCUUCAUGCGCGGCCACUACUGGGCGGGCAUGAAGGCCAACUGGAUCGUCCUCAUCCACCAAUCCGGUAGUCCGUGGCGUCUCGUGGAUAUCUACACCCAACAAGAGAUCACCCGUCCAUCGUUGGAUAAUGCCGCCAUCGAGCCUCGCGGUCCGCCGGACACUCCUGCCUACUAUGCACGAGACGCAUCAAGCUUUUGGCUCGACCUCUGUUUGCUGAAAGUUGUAAUCCGCAAAGUGCCCACACCAUCAGAAGAAUGCAUGGAUUACAAGCUCACUGCCUUGUUCAACAUGGUAUUAGUCUAUCUGGAAACUGGUCGCCGUACAUGGUUAUGGCUCAUCGUCAAUCCUGUUGAGGCAACAUUUCUGUUUGAUGUUAUAGUGCAUGAUGGCAUUGUUUACGCAGUCGAAGCAUAG
Molecule: ribosomal RNA, 690 nt
Filed under: Triticum aestivum (bread wheat)
Lineage: Eukaryota; Viridiplantae; Streptophyta; Magnoliopsida; Poales; Poaceae
Description: partial small subunit ribosomal RNA
Source: RNAcentral